UGAAGGUUAACAUUUUACCAAUAGACCGAUGUUUUAAAAAUAGAUACAUACAAUGAUACCAAAAUCCAGCUUGGUUAACUGAAUUUCGAAAAUAAUUGGUCAAGAGAAAAACCAUCGAAUCACUAAUUCAGAAAAGAUCAUAUCAUGAGGUAGCACAAGAACUAAGAGAACUCCAAAUGUCUACACACUGACCAUGAUCAUCAACAGGUAACCAAAGGUAUCAAUCAAUCAAACAUAGCUCAAUCCCAAACUAGUUUUCAAACACUUGCAAGUCCAGUAAGAUUAACAAACACCAACCAGAAUAUUCAGCAAAAAAACAAUCCCCUCCCCCACCAUGGAUGCCUCACUGGUAAGUAAACUGACGAGCAUCAAACACUGGACAACGAUGGUCCAUCGCUCAUCCAAGGGUGUGGCCUAGUGGUCAAUCAAGUGGGUGAGAACCAAGAGGUCUCAGGUUCAAGUCCCAGCAGGGGCAAAAACCACUAGAUGAUUUCUUCCCAUCUAUCCAAGCCUUGGUGGAUAGAGUUACCUGGUACCCGUCGUUGGUGGGAGGUAGCAGAUAUCCCGUGGAAUUAGUCGAGGUGCGCGCAAGCUGGUCCGGACACCACAGUUAUUUUAAAAAAAAAAAGGAUGGUCCAUCGCAAUAUUACUGGCAUGCUCCAUCUACGUAAACUCUAUUCUCAUUAUUUAAAAUCUCUUUUCAAGCCUAGAUGUUCCAGCAUCACUUGCCAAAUUCAGCAACAUCGACAAUUAACUAGCUCUUUGACAGACCACUGUUCCGAACCGCGAAAAAUAACAAGAUUAAUGAUAUUGAUGGCCCACGUGUAUUCAGCCAACAUCAUUUGACUGAAUACAGACAGAUUGCUCCUUUCGACCAUCAUUGCAUCACAAACUGAAUACCAUGCUAAGUAGGGAAAUGAAAGAUGAUAAGCAAAGUGCAGAUCUUUGAAACUUAUCCAAACAAGUUAUUUAUGACAUUUUAUGCGCAAAUACAAAGGCCAUGCAAGUAAUCCUAAUCUUCUAUAUCAUCAUUCAGCAAUAGUAGCUAUGCUUGAUAAGGCAAAAAGAAGCUGAUUGCACCUUAGUGAUAAUAGUUGUGUUUAGAUUUGAGACCCUAAUUUCAAUACACCAGAGUACAGGAAUAAUAACUAGCCAAAUAACCCUGAAACAACACCAUAACUCAUGGGUGACAUGCAAAGGGUGCAAAAGGGAGGAGGAAGAAAUAUGUGGACUUAACAAGACUUGCCAUCACAAAUGACAUCAAACUAAAAAUAUCUGAAGAAAUGUUGCUCUACAAUUCGUGGCAACAGGAGUUGUGCUUGUUUGAUUCAGAGCUAAAGGACUGCAAAGCUGCAGUUGAUAGGGGAUUUUAAGAAAAAGCUCGGUUCAACAGCUUGACUUAUACCACUUAAAAAACAGUAAACAUCACAUUAUAUAACAAAUUACAUGCUAUGACGUUCAUUUUCACCAGAUGCUACAAACAAUCAACUCCACAUCAGAGGUUGAAUCCAGAGGCAUCAAACACAUAAUCUCAUUCAUUAGCUCAGCUUAGUAAAACAGGCUUCCUAGUAUAACAGCCAGCUAGAAUAUCUUUCAAGCAUGCUUACAGCAUCAAGCAUGAACGAACUAUCUCACUCCGAGGAUAAUAAGCAAUAGGUAUAUGACAUGUCUAAUAGUGUAAUUUCUACGAUGCUCAUGUACAUAAAUAAAGACCAUUGUCUAGGAAUUCCAAGACAGAACCAACUGAUCAUUUCAGAUAGUUCUACUCAGGGAUUAAAGCCAGAAUUGAGAAUAACAAUUAAGCAUCACUAAACUUAAGUCUUAUGAGGUUCUGUUACAAUAUUUUCCUUACAGGGUCAGCUCAUGUCCAUCAAUUUUAGUUUUUAAACGACAUAUGCUGGUAAAGAAAACAUCUCAGUAAUCUUUUUUUUGGGUGUUUCCUAGCAGCAUCAAUUCGUCAAAACAAAUAUCAAAUGCACCUAAUUUCAUUAGCAUGUUAAACUCGAGUUUCAAACACAAUAUGAAUUUGUUCUAGCAGAAAGUAAGAUGCACAAGAGACAAAAUGUUCUCCAUCCUUGCAAACAAAUGAAAAAACAAAGCACGAAACUGAAGCAAACUCGCAAAGGUCCACUAGGAUUGACUUAUAACAAGAUUUCUCCAACUGAACUAGGAUUCUAAAAGAUAAGAAAAAAGUAACCAAAAAGCUGCAUAUAUGACAAUGGAUUAAAAAUACUGUGUGACAGGGACCAGACCAUUUGAAGGGAAAUUGCUCCGCUAUUGGUUGAUCACUCGAUAAUUUUCUGAAUGACACCAGCUCCAACAGUCUUUCCUCCUUCCCUGAUGGCAAAUCUCAUCCCUUGCUCACAAGCCACCGGCAUAAUGAGCUCAACCACCAAGUUCACACGAUCACCAGGCAUGACCAUCUUAGAUUCCUCUCCUUUAUCAGUCGUAAUGGAAGUAACCUUUCCGGUCACAUCAGUAGUCCUCAUGUAAAACUGAGGCCUGUACCCUGAAAAGAAGGGGGAAUGCCUACCACCCUCCUCCUUCUUCAACACAUACACAAUAGCUUCAAACUUGGUGUGAGGGGUAAUUGUUCCGGGUUUUGCCAACACCAUUCCUCUCUGAAUAUCAAUCUUUUGAAUACCUCUCAACAACAACCCCACAUUGUCUCCAGCCAUUGCUUCAUCCAAAAUCUUUUGAAACAUCUCAACACCCGUCACGGUAGUACUCCUAGUGUCCUUCAAACCUACAAUAUCAACAGUGUCUCCAAUCCUAACAGUCCCUCUCUCUACCCUCCCCGUCGCCACAGUACCUCUACCAGUAAUGGAAAACACAUCUUCAAUAGCCAUCAAGAAAGGCAAUUCAGUUUGCCUAACUGGAAUAGGAAUAUAACUAUCAACAGCGUCCAUCAACUCAUAUAUCUUAUCAACCCAUUGAUUUUCACCUCUCUUAAUACUAGGAUUAGCCAUCAAAGCCUCUAAAGCCAAAAGAGCAGAGCCAGAAAUAAUAGGAAUAUCAUCACCAGGAAACUCAUAACUUGACAAUAACUCUCUUACCUCCAACUCAACAAGCUGAAGCAGCUCCUCAUCAUCAACCUGAUCUUGUUUGUUCAAGAACACAACCAUGUUGGGGACACCUACUUGCUUAGCAAGCAAAAUGUGUUCCUUAGUCUGUGGCAUGGGACCAUCAGCACCUGAACAAACAAGAAUAGCGCCGUCCAUUUGGGCAGCACCGGUAAUCAUAUUCUUGACAUAAUCAGCGUGACCAGGGCAAUCCACGUGGGCGUAGUGACGGUUCUCAGUCUCGUACUCAACAGUAGCAGUGUUAAUAGUAAUACCACGAGCACGCUCUUCUGGGGCGGCAUCAAUUUCGUCGUAUUUCUUAGGGGCGGAGUUUCCCAUAGAAGCAAGAGCCAUGGUUAAAGCAGCGGUGAGAGUAGUCUUUCCGUGGUCAACAUGGCCAAUAGUACCGAUGUUGACAUGGGGUUUUUUCCGCUCGAAUUUGCCACGGGCAGCGCGGACAGUAAACCGGCGGUGGCGAUGGGUGGCAGUAGAAGAAGGGGUGGCGGGUGAGUGGAGGAAAAGGGUGGAACAAUUAGGGGUAAAGGAAGAGGAUAGGAUAAGCUUAGAGGGUUUAGUGGAGGAAGGAAGAAGAGGAUUGGUGGAGUUGGAUGAUACAAGCUUAGUGGAGGAGGUGGCGGUGGCUGCUGAAAUUGAAGCCAUGGCCGGAGAUUGAAGUUGGGAGAGAAAAGAGAGUUAAGGAUAGAGCGAGUGAGAAUUGGGAUUUGAAAGAAAAUGAGGAGAAGGGGAUAAUAGUGUUAUAUCCCUUGGAAGGAAAAAAUAGGGCCGCUCAUAUACUCAUUUUGGGGGGAUUUUUCUAUCCAUUUCUACCUAUUUGGAUAACACUACGCUGCGGCAA
This 3918-nucleotide long non-coding RNA is filed under the name Nicotiana tabacum (common tobacco). Its description in RNAcentral is "long non-coding RNA (NTAB_LNC007955)". The record is from RNAcentral. Lineage: Eukaryota; Viridiplantae; Streptophyta; Magnoliopsida; Solanales; Solanaceae.